Gossypium raimondii (Peruvian cotton) is the source of this 922-nucleotide long non-coding RNA. RefSeq lists it as uncharacterized. The record is from RefSeq and is a predicted model, not a curated record. The transcript has 2 exons. NCBI's taxonomy places the organism in Eukaryota, Viridiplantae, Streptophyta, Magnoliopsida, Malvales, Malvaceae.
AUUUGAAAUCUGCAAGACAAGCUGAAUCUGUUUAUUCAAAGAUUUGAAGUGGAUGCAUUAGGCUAACGGCACCACUAAAUUCUUUUAUGGAAGUAAUUUAUUUGGUAAGAGUCAACGUAUCAUUGGAGAAUAUGAGAGUACUAGCAGAUACAAGUGUAGUACAAAUUCAUCCCACCAAAAUAGGUUCUUGUAUGUUCAACUGGCACUCAAAGAAGUUGAUAGUACUGUAGUACAGAGUCCGUUUAGUACAAGUUGUACUGUAAACGUUAUUGGGGGGGGGGGGGGGUUAGCUUAAAUAGCUCAGAGUUUGGGUUAUUAUAGCAGAGAGCCAUAGACAUCAGAGUGGCAGGUUUCUUUGGGGGCAUUCCAACAGAGGCAAAACAAGAUGAGGAACCUUAUUGUUUUUUCCACUAUCACCAUUGAUUGGGGGGAAAUGACACAAUAAGAAGACUUGAAUAAAUGCUGCAUUGCUUUAAGUGACAGACUGGAGAUAGAUAGAGGAGAGGAAGAAUAUCAGGGUUUGCCACAAUCCAGCUUUUAAAUUCACCCCGUGGCAUGGCCACUAGGUUUCUGAUACAGGUUGUUUGGGCAAAGAAAGUUUCUUCUCAGAAAAUGGAACUUCACACCUGCACCCCAGGACAACACCCUCAAUUACCAACUGUAAACUACUGUUGGAUGUUUUAUGCUUGGAACAAGCUUGUGUUCUUUGAUCUGGGUUUUGAAUAGAACUAGCUUCAUGCAAAUGGACAAGACUGCAACAAUGAUGAUUUAUUAUUUCCUCAGAUGUAAUGUUAUCUGCUUUUGCUUCCAUUUUGUCUUGUUAUCUCAUGAUUUCGGGAAAAAAAAACUAUCACUCUAAAUUCUGGGUGUUUUUAGCUUCAAAGUACUGAUAUUUUAUGAAAUCAAGUUCUUGGUACCUUAA